AAUCCAUAGGUUAAUGAGGCGAACCGGGGGAACUGAAACAUCUAAGUACCCCGAGGAAAAGAAAUCAACCGAGAUUCCCCCAGUAGCGGCGAGCGAACGGGGAGGAGCCCAGAGCCUGAAUCAGCAUGUGUGUUAGUGGAAGCGUCUGGAAAGGCGCGCGAUACAGGGUGACAGCCCCGUACACAAAAGCGCAUGUGCUGUGAGCUCGAUGAGUAGGGCGGGACACGUGGUAUCCUGUCUGAAUAUGGGGGGACCAUCCUCCAAGGCUAAAUACUCCUGACUGACCGAUAGUGAACCAGUACCGUGAGGGAAAGGCGAAAAGAACCCCGGCGAGGGGAGUGAAAAAGAACCUGAAACCGUGUACGUACAAGCAGUGGGAGCACCCUUUGGGGUGUGACUGCGUACCUUUUGUAUAAUGGGUCAGCGACUUAUAUUCUGUAGCAAGGUUAACCGAAUAGGGGAGCCGGAGGGAAACCGAGUCUUAACCGGGCGUUAAGUUGCAGGGUAUAGACCCGAAACCCGGUGAUCUAGCCAUGGGCAGGUUGAAGGUUGGGUAACACUAACUGGAGGACCGAACCGACUAAUGUUGAAAAAUUAGCGGAUGACCUGUGGCUGGGGGUGAAAGGCCAAUCAAACCGGGAGAUAGCUGGUUCUCCCCGAAAGCUAUUUAGGUAGCGCCUCGUGAAUUCAUCUCCGGGGGUAGAGCACUGUUUCGGCUAGGGGGCCAUCCCGGCUUACCAACCCGAUGCAAACUGCGAAUACCGGAGAAUGUUAUCACGGGAGACACACGGCGGGUGCUAACGUCCGUCGUGAAGAGGGAAACAACCCAGACCGCCAGCUAAGGUCCCAAAGUCAUGGUUAAGUGGGAAACGAUGUGGGAAGGCCCAGACAGCCAGGAUGUUGGCUUAGAAGCAGCCAUCAUUUAAAGAAAGCGUAAUAGCUCACUGGUCGAGUCGGCCUGCGCGGAAGAUGUAACGGGGCUAAACCAUGCACCGAAGCUGCGGCAGCGACGCUGAUGCGUUGUUGGGUAGGGGAGCGUUCUGUAAGCCUGCGAAGGUGUGUCGUGAGGCAUGCUGGAGGUAUCAGAAGUGCGAAUGCUGACAUAAGUAACGAUAAAGCGGGUGAAAAGCCCGCUCGCCGGAAGACCAAGGGUUCCUGUCCAACGUUAAUCGGGGCAGGGUGAGUCGACCCCUAAGGCGAGGCCGAAAGGCGUAGUCGAUGGGAAACGGGUUAAUAUUCCCGUACUUGGUGUUACUGCGAAGGGGGGACGGAGAAGGCUAUGUUGGCCGGGCGACGGUUGUCCCGGUUUAAGCGUGUAGGUGUGUGUUCCAGGUAAAUCCGGUUCACUUUAACACUGAGGCGUGAUGACGAGGCACUACGGUGCUGAAGCAACAAAUGCCCUGCUUCCAGGAAAAGCCUCUAAGCAUCAGGUAACAUCAAAUCGUACCCCAAACCGACACAGGUGGUCAGGUAGAGAAUACCAAGGCGCUUGAGAGAACUCGGGUGAAGGAACUAGGCAAAAUGGUGCCGUAACUUCGGGAGAAGGCACGCUGACACGUAGGUGAAGUGAUUUACUCAUGGAGCUGAAGUCAGUCGAAGAUACCAGCUGGCUGCAACUGUUUAUUAAAAACACAGCACUGUGCAAACACGAAAGUGGACGUAUACGGUGUGACGCCUGCCCGGUGCCGGAAGGUUAAUUGAUGGGGUCAGCGCAAGCGAAGCUCCUGAUCGAAGCCCCGGUAAACGGCGGCCGUAACUAUAACGGUCCUAAGGUAGCGAAAUUCCUUGUCGGGUAAGUUCCGACCUGCACGAAUGGCGUAAUGAUGGCCAGGCUGUCUCCACCCGAGACUCAGUGAAAUUGAACUCGCUGUGAAGAUGCAGUGUACCCGCGGCAAGACGGAAAGACCCCGUGAACCUUUACUAUAGCUUGACACUGAACAUUGAGCCUUGAUGUGUAGGAUAGGUGGGAGGCUUUGAAGUGUGGACGCCAGUCUGCAUGGAGCCGGCCUUGAAAUACCACCCUU
RNAcentral lists this ribosomal RNA (2024 nucleotides) under Salmonella enterica subsp. enterica serovar Johannesburg. Its description in RNAcentral is "partial 23S ribosomal RNA". It matches the Rfam family "Bacterial large subunit ribosomal RNA", at positions 161 to 2207 of the family's 2925-position model. Lineage: Bacteria; Pseudomonadati; Pseudomonadota; Gammaproteobacteria; Enterobacterales; Enterobacteriaceae. The record is from RNAcentral.